Molecule: RNA transcript, 2084 nt
Organism: Eucalyptus grandis
Lineage: Eukaryota; Viridiplantae; Streptophyta; Magnoliopsida; Myrtales; Myrtaceae
Gene name: protein EMSY-LIKE 3
Exons: 11
Source: RefSeq, a predicted model, not a curated record
CUCGAGGGGACUGUCUUUUCCUCUCUAGACGCCAUUGAUCCAUAUCAUAAAUCUCUCCGGCCUCGGAAGUGCUCUUUUGCAAGUCUAUCUGGUUGGUUUUUCUAGACCGGGGUCGGACCGGACGUUCGACCGGCCGAGUCGGGAGCGGUUUCCAGUUCUGACCGGUUCUCUCCUCUCGCCGGUCCGGGGACCGAAAAAUUCCCAGUUCCCCCCUCGCGACUCUCCUUCUCGCCCUCGCUCCUGCUCAAACCCUAAUUUUCAUUGUAAUCUCGCUCAAAAUUCUUCUUCUCAACUCCAAUUCCCUUCGCAUCUGAGUUCGAUUUUCCUUAUUUCGUGAUCCCGAAGUUCGAUUGUUCGGAUUGCCGGUGUUUCUCCACAAAUUUUGCGAUAAUCGCACGUAAAUCGGCUCUUCUUGGGAAUGUUCCAUGGCGAACGACUGUAGGCGGAUUCGAUGAGUACUUAGAAAUGACUGGUUCGGGUUCGGUAUCGAGACUCGUCGAUUCUUUCCUUGAGGUGUUCUUCCGGGUUCGUGGGGCUUAGGAGUGUGGCUGAAGCGAAUUCGGGGUUUUUCAUUGGCGAAAUUUCUUGGUUUGAAGCAACGGGGAUGGAUCAUGAUAUGCCUGAUAGCAGCAGCGGUACAGAUGACGGCCUCCCUCCUCCGCAACGGAGCAGAUAUCAGAGAGGACAGGCUGCUGGAAAUGGAAGAUCUGCAGUUUUAGGAACUGCACCGUUACUCAAGAUACACAACAACGUGGAAAAUCAGAUCUACCAUAUUGAGCAAGAAGCUUAUUGUUCAAUACUUCGAGCCUUUAAGGCUCAAUCUGACGCCAUUACUUGGGAUAAGGAGAGUUUGAUUACCGAACUUAGGAAAGAGCUGAGAGUGUCAGAUGAGCAACAUAGAGAGCUUCUUUCCAAGGUCAAUUCGGAAGACAUUCUUCAGCGGAUAAGAGAGUGGAGAAAGGCAAAUGGUUUUCAACCAGGCAGGCCUGGAACUUCUAGGCACAUCCAAGACCCUGCACCUAGUCGCAAUCUUUUGGCAUCUGAAAAGAAAAUGAAGACCCCACAGUCUGUUGCUUCUUUGUCUGCAUUUACACCAUCUCCAGCAAUACCGUCAUUACAACCAUCUCCAUCAACAUUUAGACAAGGGCCUCAUCCUGGAGGCAGGAGUAAGAAGCCAAAAUCAAACUCUACGGCAGGUGCUGGUGGAAGGCCUCAAGGUGCCAUUCGUGGUUUCUCUGGGGCCUUUCGAGCAAACUCUGAUUCACUGAUAGGCAAGAAAGUUUGGACUAGAUGGCCUGAUGAUAACAACUUCUAUGAGGCUGUCAUAACAGAUUAUAAUUCAGCUGAGGGGCACCAUGCAUUGGUCUACGAUAUUGAGACAGCAAAUGAAACAUGGGAAUGGGUUGACCUCAGAGAGAUACCUCCCUCAGACAUCCGGUGGGAAGGCCAUGACCAUGGAAUUUCUAAUAGAGGGGGCCAUCCUGGUGUCAGCCGGGGAGUCAAGAAGUCCACUCCGAAAGGUGGUGCUAUUACUGGACCUGGAAAAGGUAAAGGGACGACGAAGGGACAGACUCAAAGAAUCUCCCUUCAAUGCAGAGUGGCGUAGGCCGGAAGGAUUUGGGCGACAUUGAAUUGCUCAACACAGAUUCUCUAGUCAAGGAGGUGGAGAAAGUGUUAAGUGCGAGCCCGCCCGACGUGGCAGAGAUUGCAGAAGCGAAGAGGGCUCUUAAGGAGCAGGAGCAGGCCCUGCUUGGUGCGAUCUCCAUGCUUCAAGAUGCAUCCGAUGGUGAAAGUGAUGAAAAGGGAUUGUAGCCUUCCAAAAAGGCAAUCGAGGGGAGGGGCAGUUUGAGACUUUGAGCAGACCAAGUUCUGGAUCUGAUGGAGAGAACCGGAGAGACGGUGGUUUUCUCAACAUCACAUAUUUCGAUGAGAGUGCAAUUGCAUUUCAAGUCCCGGCCAGUUCUAACUAUGUCUGAGCCUGUAACCUUUACUAGAGUUAGGAUUGACUACUGACCUGUCAUUGUAAUUGAAUCUCAAACCGAUUCCUAACUCAGUUACUAUGUACAGCUUCUUUGAUAAUCAAA